This 1440-nucleotide ribosomal RNA is filed under the name Limosilactobacillus fermentum. Its description in RNAcentral is "bacterial SSU rRNA". It matches the Rfam family "Bacterial small subunit ribosomal RNA". Lineage: Bacteria; Bacillati; Bacillota; Bacilli; Lactobacillales; Lactobacillaceae. The record is from RNAcentral.
AAGUCGAACGCGUUGGCCCAAUUGAUUGAUGGUGCUUGCACCUGAUUGAUUUUGGUCGCCAACGAGUGGCGGACGGGUGAGUAACACGUAGGUAACCUGCCCAGAAGCGGGGGACAACAUUUGGAAACAGAUGCUAAUACCGCAUAACAGCGUUGUUCGCAUGAACAACGCUUAAAAGAUGGCUUCUCGCUAUCACUUCUGGAUGGACCUGCGGUGCAUUAGCUUGUUGGUGGGGUAACGGCCUACCAAGGCGAUGAUGCAUAGCCGAGUUGAGAGACUGAUCGGCCACAAUGGGACUGAGACACGGCCCAUACUCCUACGGGAGGCAGCAGUAGGGAAUCUUCCACAAUGGGCGCAAGCCUGAUGGAGCAACACCGCGUGAGUGAAGAAGGGUUUCGGCUCGUAAAGCUCUGUUGUUAAAGAAGAACACGUAUGAGAGUAACUGUUCAUACGUUGACGGUAUUUAACCAGAAAGUCACGGCUAACUACGUGCCAGCAGCCGCGGUAAUACGUAGGUGGCAAGCGUUAUCCGGAUUUAUUGGGCGUAAAGAGAGUGCAGGCGGUUUUCUAAGUCUGAUGUGAAAGCCUUCGGCUUAACCGGAGAAGUGCAUCGGAAACUGGAUAACUUGAGUGCAGAAGAGGGUAGUGGAACUCCAUGUGUAGCGGUGGAAUGCGUAGAUAUAUGGAAGAACACCAGUGGCGAAGGCGGCUACCUGGUCUGCAACUGACGCUGAGACUCGAAAGCAUGGGUAGCGAACAGGAUUAGAUACCCUGGUAGUCCAUGCCGUAAACGAUGAGUGCUAGGUGUUGGAGGGUUUCCGCCCUUCAGUGCCGGAGCUAACGCAUUAAGCACUCCGCCUGGGGAGUACGACCGCAAGGUUGAAACUCAAAGGAAUUGACGGGGGCCCGCACAAGCGGUGGAGCAUGUGGUUUAAUUCGAAGCUACGCGAAGAACCUUACCAGGUCUUGACAUCUUGCGCCAACCCUAGAGAUAGGGCGUUUCCUUCGGGAACGCAAUGACAGGUGGUGCAUGGUCGUCGUCAGCUCGUGUCGUGAGAUGUUGGGUUAAGUCCCGCAACGAGCGCAACCCUUGUUACUAGUUGCCAGCAUUAAGUUGGGCACUCUAGUGAGACUGCCGGUGACAAACCGGAGGAAGGUGGGGACGACGUCAGAUCAUCAUGCCCCUUAUGACCUGGGCUACACACGUGCUACAAUGGACGGUACAACGAGUCGCGAACUCGCGAGGGCAAGCAAAUCUCUUAAAACCGUUCUCAGUUCGGACUGCAGGCUGCAACUCGCCUGCACGAAGUCGGAAUCGCUAGUAAUCGCGGAUCAGCAUGCCGCGGUGAAUACGUUCCCGGGCCUUGUACACACCGCCCGUCACACCAUGAGAGUUUGUAACACCCAAAGUCGGCUGGGGUAACCUUUUAGGAGCCAGCC